Molecule: ribosomal RNA, 608 nt
Filed under: Salmonella enterica subsp. enterica serovar Rubislaw
Lineage: Bacteria; Pseudomonadati; Pseudomonadota; Gammaproteobacteria; Enterobacterales; Enterobacteriaceae
Also listed under: 12 other names
Description: partial 23S ribosomal RNA
Rfam family: Bacterial large subunit ribosomal RNA
Source: RNAcentral
GGUUUACCUGUGUGACUGCGUACCUUUUGUAUAAUGGGUCAGCGACUUAUAUUCUGUAGCAAGGUUAACCGAAUAGGGGAGCCGGAGGGAAACCGAGUCUUAAUUGGGCGUUAAGUUGCAGGGUAUAGACCCGAAACCCGGUGAUCUAGCCAUGGGCAGGUUGAAGGUUGGGUAACACUAACUGGAGGACCGAACCGACUAAUGUUGAAAAAUUAGCGGAUGACCUGUGGCUGGGGGUGAAAGGCCAAUCAAACCGGGAGAUAGCUGGUUCUCCCCGAAAGCUAUUUAGGUAGCGCCUCGUGAAUUCAUCUCCGGGGGUAGAGCACUGUUUCGGCUAGGGGGCCAUCCCGGCUUACCAACCCGAUGCAAACUGCGAAUACCGGAGAAUGUUAUCACGGGAGACACACGGCGGGUGCUAACGUCCGUCGUGAAGAGGGAAACAACCCAGACCGCCAGCUAAGGUCCCAAAGUCAUGGUUAAGUGGGAAACGAUGUGGGAAGGCCCAGACAGCCAGGAUGUUGGCUUAGAAGCAGCCAUCAUUUAAAGAAAGCGUAAUAGCUCACUGGUCGAGUCGGCCUGCGCGGAAGAUGUAACGGGGCUAAACCAUG